ACGAACGCUGGCGGCGUGCUUAACACAUGCAAGUCGCACGGAAAGGCCCUGCUUUUGUGGGGUGCUCGAGUGGCGAACGGGUGAGUAACACGUGAGUAACCUGCCCUUGACUUUGGGAUAACUUCAGGAAACUGGGGCUAAUACCGGAUAGGAGCUCCUGCUGCAUGGUGGGGGUUGGAAAGUUUCGGCGGUUGGGGAUGGACUCGCGGCUUAUCAGCUUGUUGGUGGGGUAGUGGCUUACCAAGGCUUUGACGGGUAGCCGGCCUGAGGGGGUGACCGGCCACAUUGGGACUGAGAUACGGCCCAGACUCCUACGGGAGGCAGCAGUGGGGAAUAUUGCACAAUGGGCGGAAGCCUGAUGCAGCAACGCCGCGUGCGGGAUGACGGCCUUCGGGUUGUAAACCGCUUUCGCCUGUGACGAAGCGUGAGUGACGGUAAUGGGUAAAGAAGCACCGGCUAACUACGUG
This 467-nucleotide ribosomal RNA is filed under the name uncultured bacterium. RNAcentral describes it as "partial 16S ribosomal RNA". It matches the Rfam family "Bacterial small subunit ribosomal RNA", at positions 29 to 507 of the family's 1533-position model. The record is from RNAcentral.